Molecule: long non-coding RNA, 1747 nt
Organism: Spinacia oleracea (spinach)
Lineage: Eukaryota; Viridiplantae; Streptophyta; Magnoliopsida; Caryophyllales; Amaranthaceae
Exons: 5
Source: RefSeq, a predicted model, not a curated record
ACUUCUAUUCCACGUAAAAGAAAAACCCAAAACCCCUCCUCAAGUUCACGUAAAAGAACAGAAACCCUUUCCUUCAACCAUUCACGUCGUCCUUGCUUCUGCCAGCCGCCACCACCGCCGGACCUCCUCCCGCCGCAACCACCACUCGUCGCCGAGCAUCCUAGCGCAGCCGCUGCAUAACCUCGACCACCGCCACCUUGCACGCCACCACCUCCGCGACCACCACUGUCGCGUAACCGGCGACCACCGCAGCCCUCGCCGCUGCUUUUCCCUUCCGACCAACGUCUCUCUCCCUCACUUUUGGUUGUUUCUUGAACCCUAACCUAAAUUAUUGUUUUUAAUUACGUUUUAAUAAUUUAAUUUAUGUUUCUUAAAUUAAAUUUAUGAUUUUUAUGAUUAAGCUAUGAAUUUUCAGAUUAUAUAUUUGAAUUAAUUAAUAAUUUAAUUUUCAGAUUAUGUAAUUGCAUUGAAAUAAUGAUUUUUAAUUAUUUAAAAUAUGAAUUUUAAGUUUUAAUGGAAUUGAAUCAUGGUGGAAUGAUUGUGGAUUAUUAAAAUUAUUGUUGGGAUGUUCUAAGCAUGUUACUUUGGCCUUGACGAAGUUUUAAACGAAUUUAUAUUGCUCGAAAUUUAAAGUAUAAUGUUUGCAAAAGUUUUCAACGAAUUUCAAUCACUAAUUCAAUAAUGAUGAUGCUAGGAAAUCAAAUGUUUAAGUUUUGAUAUUGGGGAAAGUUCUAAAUAUGUUUAGGAUGCAUUUAGAAUGCUCUCUUAUGGUUGUCAAUGAUUAGGAAUUGAUUGGGAUUAUUUGUUGGUUGUUUUAGGCGGAGAAUUCUUUGUAGGCGACUUUUGAAAGUGUUAAAGUGGCCUAUUAUUUGUUUACACAAGUCUCUAGGGAUCAAUAAGCAUCGUCCAUUACAGGUUUGAAGGUGAUGCAUCAUGGGGUUCGGGAUUGAAGAGUUGUGUAGUUAUUAAAUUGCUUUGUUUUAAGUUUGAUGUUGAAUUUGUUUGGCCUGUUUUAAAGAGACUCGAACUUUGUUUUAAUUAAUUACGUUGACUUUGUUUUGUUUGUUGGUUUUAGAUUUUAUUCCGUAGUUGACUUAUUUAAAUUAUUAAAGUUAGUUUUAUGUUUUCCGCUGCAAAAUUCUGAAUAAGCCGUUACGUUUUCACACGGGCGAUAAUGCCUUGAUAAUUCUCUACGUUUUAUAUUAAAAGGUUAUUUUAGAAAGGAGAGAAUUGUCGGGGUGUUACAAGCAUCAACCAGAGCUUCUGUAGCAGCAUCCCCGGGCAGUUCUCUUCUUAAAUCCGGGAUUGUGUAGCAGCAUAAACCGGAGCUUAUCAACCAGAGCUUCUGCGACAACAGUGCAGCUCUCUUCUUAAAUCCGGGAUUCUGUAGCAGCAUCAACCGGAGCUUCUGUAGUAGCAUCAACCAGAGCUUCUGCAGCAACAGGGCAGUUCUCUUCUUAAAUCCAAAUAAUAGUGUCACAAAUUUCACCUAGCAGUUUAGGACAUUCACCAUAACUCGUAUGGUCGUAAAAUGUGACAAAAAGAUUAAAGGUCACAAAAGUUCAAAGCAAAGUCCAGAAUUCAGGGGCUAGAUCAACUACGAGAUGUUUCAAUUCAAUCAAGUUAUGUGAUCGCAGCAUCAAAAGACAAUCCGAAUGCAGUGGUUAUGUUAAAAUAAAUUAAUUAGGCAGGUCUCAUUAAGGGAUGAUUAUGAUCAGACAAUAUAUGCAUCAGAAGUAAUACCUUG